AGCAGCCGCGGUAAUUCCAGCUCCAAUAGCGUAUAUUAAAGUUGUUGCAGUUAAAAAGCUCGUAGUUGAAUUUCGGGAUCAAUACGUCGGUCGUGCUUCGGUACGUACUGGCGUAAUUGAUUUCUCCCUUCUGACGAACCAUGAUGUCAUUAACUUGGUGUCAUGGGAAAUCAGGACUGUUACUUUGAAAAAAUUAGAGUGUUUAAAGCAGGCUCACGCUUGAAUACAUUAGCAUGGAAUAAUGAAAUAGGACGUUCGAUCCUAUUUUGUUGGUUUUAGGAUCAACGUAAUGAUUAAUAGGGAUAGUUGGGGGCAUUAGUAUUCAAUUGUCAGAGGUGAAAUUCUUGGAUUUAUUGAAGACUAACUACUGCGAAAGCAUUUGCCAAGGAUGUUUUCAUUAAUCAAGAACGAAAGUUAGGGGAUCGAAGACGAUCAGAUACCGUCGUAGUCUUAACCAUAAACUAUGCCGACUAGGGAUCGGAUGAUGUUAAUUUUUUAAUGACUCAUUCGGCGCCUUACG
This 520-nucleotide unclassified non-coding RNA is filed under the name uncultured Glomus. RNAcentral's name for it is "SSU rRNA". It matches the Rfam family "Eukaryotic small subunit ribosomal RNA", at positions 569 to 1092 of the family's 1831-position model. Lineage: Eukaryota; Fungi; Glomeromycota; Glomeromycetes; Glomerales; Glomeraceae. The record is from RNAcentral.